CUCCUGGAAACGGGUGGUAAUGCCGGAUGCUCCGGUUGGAUGCAUGUCCUUCCGGGAAAGGUUCCAUCGGUAUGGGAUGGGGUCGCGUCCUAUCAGCUUGAUGGCGGGGUAACGGCCCACCAUGGCUUCGACGGGUAGCCGGCCUGAGAGGGCGACCGGCCACAUUGGGACUGAGAUACGGCCCAGACUCCUACGGGAGGCAGCAGUGGGGAAUAUUGCACAAUGGGCGCAAGCCUGAUGCAGCGACGCCGCGUGCGGGAUGGAGGCCUUCGGGUUGUAAACCGCUUUUGAUCGGGAGCAAGCCCUUCGGGGUGAGUGUACCUUUCGAAUAAGCACCGGCUAACUACGUGCCAGCAGCCGCGGUAAUACGUAGGGUGCAAGCGUUAUCCGGAAUUAUUGGGCGUAAAGGGCUCGUAGGCGGUUCGUCGCGUCCGGUGUGAAAGCCCAUCGCUUAACGGUGGGUCUGCGCCGGGUACGGGCGGGCUGGAGUGCGGUAGGGGAGA
This 503-nucleotide ribosomal RNA is filed under the name Bifidobacterium dentium. Its description in RNAcentral is "bacterial SSU rRNA". It matches the Rfam family "Bacterial small subunit ribosomal RNA", at positions 147 to 660 of the family's 1533-position model. The record is from RNAcentral. Lineage: Bacteria; Bacillati; Actinomycetota; Actinomycetes; Bifidobacteriales; Bifidobacteriaceae.